Molecule: ribosomal RNA, 2927 nt
Filed under: Escherichia coli
Lineage: Bacteria; Pseudomonadati; Pseudomonadota; Gammaproteobacteria; Enterobacterales; Enterobacteriaceae
Also listed under: 1 other name
Description: partial 23S ribosomal RNA
Rfam family: Bacterial large subunit ribosomal RNA
Source: RNAcentral
GGGUUGUGAGGUUAAGCGACUAAGCGUACACGGUGGAUGCCCUGGCAGUCAGAGGCGAUGAAGGACGUGCUAAUCUGCGAUAAGCGUCGGUAAGGUGAUAUGAACCGUUAUAACCGGCGAUUUCCGAAUGGGGAAACCCAGUGUGAUUCGUCACACUAUCAUUAACUGAAUCCAUAGGUUAAUGAGGCGAACCGGGGGAACUGAAACAUCUAAGUACCCCGAGGAAAAGAAAUCAACCGAGAUUCCCCCAGUAGCGGCGAGCGAACGGGGAGGAGCCCAGAGCCUGAAUCAGUGUGUGUGUUAGUGGAAGCGUCUGGAAAGGCGCGCGAUACAGGGUGACAGCCCCGUACACAAAAAUGCACAUGCUGUGAGCUCGAUGAGUAGGGCGGGACACGUGGUAUCCUGUCUGAAUAUGGGGGGACCAUCCUCCAAGGCUAAAUACUCCUGACUGACCGAUAGUGAACCAGUACCGUGAGGGAAAGGCGAAAAGAACCCCGGCGAGGGGAGUGAAAAAGAACCUGAAACCGUGUACGUACAAGCAGUGGGAGCACAGAGCAAUCUGUGUGACUGCGUACCUUUUGUAUAAUGGGUCAGCGACUUAUAUUCUGUAGCAAGGUUAACCGAAUAGGGGAGCCGAAGGGAAACCGAGUCUUAACUGGGCGUUAAGUUGCAGGGUAUAGACCCGAAACCCGGUGAUCUAGCCAUGGGCAGGUUGAAGGUUGGGUAACACUAACUGGAGGACCGAACCGACUAAUGUUGAAAAAUUAGCGGAUGACUUGUGGCUGGGGGUGAAAGGCCAAUCAAACCGGGAGAUAGCUGGUUCUCCCCGAAAGCUAUUUAGGUAGCGCCUCGUGAAUUCAUCUCCGGGGGUAGAGCACUGUUUCGGCAAGGGGGUCAUCCCGACUUACCAACCCGAUGCAAACUGCGAAUACCGGAGAAUGUUAUCACGGGAGACACACGGCGGGUGCUAACGUCCGUCGUGAAGAGGGAAACAACCCAGACCGCCAGCUAAGGUCCCAAAGUCAUGGUUAAGUGGGAAACGAUGUGGGAAGGCCCAGACAGCCAGGAUGUUGGCUUAGAAGCAGCCAUCAUUUAAAGAAAGCGUAAUAGCUCACUGGUCGAGUCGGCCUGCGCGGAAGAUGUAACGGGGCUAAACCAUGCACCGAAGCUGCGGCAGCGACGCUUAUGCGUUGUUGGGUAGGGGAGCGUUCUGUAAGCCUGUGAAGGUGUGCUGUGAGGCAUGCUGGAGGUAUCAGAAGUGCGAAUGCUGACAUAAGUAACGAUAAAGCGGGUGAAAAGCCCGCUCGCCGGAAGACCAAGGGUUCCUGUCCAACGUUAAUCGGGGCAGGGUGAGUCGACCCCUAAGGCGAGGCCGAAAGGCGUAGUCGAUGGGAAACAGGUUAAUAUUCCUGUACUUGGUGUUACUGCGAAGGGGGGACGGAGAAGGCUAUGUUGGCCGGGCGACGGUUGUCCCGGUUUAAGCGUGUAGGCUGGUUUUCCAGGCAAAUCCGGAAAAUCAAGGCUGAGGCGUGAUGACGAGGCACUACGGUGCUGAAGCAACAAAUGCCCUGCUUCCAGGAAAAGCCUCUAAGCAUCAGGUAACAUCAAAUCGUACCCCAAACCGACACAGGUGGUCAGGUAGAGAAUACCAAGGCGCUUGAGAGAACUCGGGUGAAGGAACUAGGCAAAAUGGUGCCGUAACUUCGGGAGAAGGCACGCUGAUAUGUAGGUGAAGUCCCUCGCGGAUGGAGCUGAAAUCAGUCGAAGAUACCAGCUGGCUGCAACUGUUUAUUAAAAACACAGCACUGUGCAAACACGAAAGUGGACGUAUACGGUGUGACGCCUGCCCGGUGCCGGAAGGUUAAUUGAUGGGGUUAGCGCAAGCGAAGCUCUUGAUCGAAGCCCCGGUAAACGGCGGCCGUAACUAUAACGGUCCUAAGGUAGCGAAAUUCCUUGUCGGGUAAGUUCCGACCUGCACGAAUGGCGUAAUGAUGGCCAGGCUGUCUCCACCCGAGACUCAGUGAAAUUGAACUCGCUGUGAAGAUGCAGUGUACCCGCGGCAAGACGGAAAGACCCCGUGAACCUUUACUAUAGCUUGACACUGAACAUUGAGCCUUGAUGUGUAGGAUAGGUGGGAGGCUUUGAAGUGUGGACGCCAGUCUGCAUGGAGCCGACCUUGAAAUACCACCCUUUAAUGUUUGAUGUUCUAACGUUGACCCGUAAUCCGGGUUGCGGACAGUGUCUGGUGGGUAGUUUGACUGGGGCGGUCUCCUCCUAAAGAGUAACGGAGGAGCACGAAGGUUGGCUAAUCCUGGUCGGACAUCAGGAGGUUAGUGCAAUGGCAUAAGCCAGCUUGACUGCGAGCGUGACGGCGCGAGCAGGUGCGAAAGCAGGUCAUAGUGAUCCGGUGGUUCUGAAUGGAAGGGCCAUCGCUCAACGGAUAAAAGGUACUCCGGGGAUAACAGGCUGAUACCGCCCAAGAGUUCAUAUCGACGGCGGUGUUUGGCACCUCGAUGUCGGCUCAUCACAUCCUGGGGCUGAAGUAGGUCCCAAGGGUAUGGCUGUUCGCCAUUUAAAGUGGUACGCGAGCUGGGUUUAGAACGUCGUGAGACAGUUCGGUCCCUAUCUGCCGUGGGCGCUGGAGAAUUGAGGGGGGCUGCUCCUAGUACGAGAGGACCGGAGUGGACGCAUCACUGGUGUUCGGGUUGUCAUGCCAAUGGCACUGCCCGGUAGCUAAAUGCGGAAGAGAUAAGUGCUGAAAGCAUCUAAGCACGAAACUUGCCCCGAGAUGAGUUCUCCCUGACUCCUUGAGAGUCCUGAAGGAACGUUGAAGACGACGACGUUGAUAGGCCGGGUGUGUAAGCGCAGCGAUGCGUUGAGCUAACCGGUACUAAUGAACCGUGAGGCUUAACCUUACAACGCCGAAG